Aegilops tauschii subsp. strangulata is the source of this 955-nucleotide RNA transcript. RefSeq lists it as uncharacterized. NCBI's taxonomy places the organism in Eukaryota, Viridiplantae, Streptophyta, Magnoliopsida, Poales, Poaceae. The record is from RefSeq and is a predicted model, not a curated record.
UGGCGACGAGCCAACUGUUGGAAGUGAAUAGUAAAGAGGACUGUCCUAUAAAGACGUAAGAUACGAGUGAUAUGACUGAAUGGUGUACCUGGACGGAAGUACGAGUACAUAGGUUUGAGGGCGAAUAAAAGAGGUAUAAUAGCACCCCAGAUCCAUGAACUUGCACAAGAUGUGAUGAUUUAGUCCAAAAUUUGCAAAAUGUCACUGAGGGCUCCCAGAACUUGACACCCUAUGUGAUGAUUUGGUCCAGAGCGAAUCACAGCGCGACAAGUGGCAGUCCAGAGCUGGGACCGGUUAGCACUGGCAUUUUUGCAAUAAACCCCUUGCCAUUCCGUCGAUUUAACCCGCACUGGUUAGUGCUCAUCUUCUCCGCCGCAGGUGCCCCGCCCCCGGCCGCCGCCGCUCGUCCACACAAUACAGUACUACAGUCUCUGUCGAGUUCUUGCGGUGUUGGUGCUUUUACGGUGCAGAUUUGCUCGUCGGGGUGUUCAUCGAUGCCAUUCUCGAGCUGCGGGGGGUCCCGGCGAGGACGCGGAUCUGGUGCGUGGUGGCCUGGCUGUUCAACCCCUUCACCUUCACCAUCGGCACCAGAGGGAACUGCGAGCCCAUCAUCUGCGCCGCCAUGCUCUGGAUCCUCAUCUGUUUGAUGAAGGGUGUAGAGUACUGCAAGCAGCAUUCUGGUAUGGGCUGAUUGUGCACGUCAGAAUAAUCGUUUGAGAUAGCAGUCACUUGAGUGUGUAAACUCAAGCUCCUUUUAGCUGCUGGCUAGAGUAGUUACUCCUAUCCUGGAGUUGAGCAAUACUUGAGCACUCAGAUGCGAUGAAAAAUUAGAUAUGCGAAAUGGGCAGUAAAUAACUCUUUACUGUAAUUUGUUUUCUUCCAAAUAAUUCCAGCACCAAGCUUUGCAUCGGUGCAAAUGACACCGAAGUAAGUUAGCUCGGUAUACUAUCUCAAA